UGUGUUUGCUUCCCUGGUCUCUGGCUAGGAGAGAGUUUCUCCCCUGUUAAGGGGAACUACGUCGCCCUGAUUCUCAUACCAGAUGAGAUACGUAGGUAGGAGAUCGAGUGAGAUCUCUCCGGGCACCUUUUUUUUCUUUUUUGUUGUGUUGUCUUGUGUGUGUCAACCUUUUCUUUUAUCUUUUUUUUUUGUGUGGCAACUAUUAGGCUCGAGUUCCAGAUUCC
RNAcentral lists this long non-coding RNA (224 nucleotides) under Lathyrus oleraceus (garden pea). RNAcentral describes it as "Pisum sativum (pea) long non-coding RNA (PSAT_LNC001612)". Lineage: Eukaryota; Viridiplantae; Streptophyta; Magnoliopsida; Fabales; Fabaceae. The record is from RNAcentral.